UUGCAUUUAUCGACCUUUCUUCCUAACGGAAGAAGAGCAGCGGCAGCAACGACCUGUACAGACGCGAAGUGGUGGGGGCAGCAGCGAGGGCACCUCCGGCUCGCCUUCCUCACCGCCGUCCCGCUAUACAAACUCCGAUCCACCGCUGCGGCCUCUACUCCUCCGCCGAGUCCCCCCAGUUCCAGCCUCUUCUCCUCCUUCCUCCCAGCUUGGUCUCUAAGGUCGAUGUCCACGGAUCGCGCUCGGCCGCCGCGCCGCUUCGCUCUGCUAUGCCCAUCGGCCGCAGCCGCAGCCGCACCUCCACUGCCGACCGACGUAGCUCUCUGCGGUCGUUGCUGGCACCAGCCUUCCUCGUCCGCCGAUGGACAGCGCGCGGGGGGCCGAGGAGAAGAGGCGUGAGUGAGGGAGACAAGGAGGUCGCGUGCGAGGUGUUAGGAAUUAAUUAAUUAGGUUAAUUAACUAUUAAUCACUGCUAUGUCGGUGCCACUUUUGGCAACUGCCUCCUUUUGUAACCGCCUUGUAAACUGGGUAUAAAUACCCCAAUCUUCAAUCAAUAGAAUAACGGUUCAUUCAUAUAUCUGUUUUCCAUUCGCUCCUCUCUCUCGAUUCUCUCCAACACGUUAUCACGCACGCCUCUUCCAGAGAGCAAUUAGGCCAAGAACUCGACGGCUCCACCGUCCCUGACCCUCCCUCCGGCCCCAAGGACACGAGGACCCUCGGCCUCGACAGCGCUCCAGCGGCGCAGCACCAGCGCGCGAUGCAGGCGGCUGAGGCACCCCAUGGUUGACGACGCCCUCCUCUGUAGGCGCGUCGAAGCGGCGCCCUCCGGCGCUUCAAUCCGCCACAUGACUGCCGACGACAGCGGCGGCAAACGGCAAGGCCUCUCUAUGGCCAGAGGAGGCCACUCCGGCGAUCUGCAAUUGCCGCAGACGAUGACUGGAGAAGUCUGGAGAAGUUGGCUACUAGAAUUUCGGCCACCACGCGAUUCACGGCGAAGACGAGAUGUUCCUCGUACAAAAAGGAAAGAAACUAAUAGGGAGAUUGAUUGAUUGAUCUUGUCUUCUUGCAAUCAUCAAUUAAUAAUCUAACAAUGAAUUGUUUUUCUCCUGUAUGUAUAUGCGCUCACACGAAUCUCACGAAGAAUUGAUCAAUCGUGAACUACAAAGAAAGAAGAACCGAUGGAAGAACGCAGCGCCAGCCUCCAUCGAUUCAAGAAUUGGAAGCCUCGAACACACUCUGCCAAAGGACAGAAAAUCAAUCAAUUGAGCGGAUUUAUCAUACUCCAAGCAGGAACAUCAGAACUUGAAAUUGGGCACAAUUUUCAAUUACACAAGGAAGACGCACAGAAAAGGAUAUGGGCGUUGGCAUCCAGGAUCACUCGAUCGAAAAUCCAUACCAAUAACUGUAAGCAUCCAUGUGAUUUCUUCAAUUUGUGAUGUUCUUACCUCUUAAAUGAGAUCGGCCGCGGAUCAGCGGACUCGAUUCCGGACGGAGGAAGGUCUAAGCGGCGGCCGCUCGUCCACUCUCCUCCUCCCUUUUCCCCCUGGAUGCGAUGGUUGAGGCCGCACCCGCGGCCUCCAUCGGCACGGCCGUCUACAGCGGCGACAACCACAUCCCGGCAGCAAUGCUCCUCCCUCCGGAGGAGCACCACGGCCCGCCACGCAGCCCGACAACAGAGACGGCCAACGCGCAUGCGGAGCGCAGUUCUCUCCGCCACACCUUGGCACGGCGGCGGCCUUCGGCUCCGACGCCGCUUCUCCUGAUGCGGCGCGAUGGCGCGGCGGCCAACAUCCGUCCCACGGCGUGGAGAUGCUGCCCAGGCGCAGACGACCUUCGAUUGGCGACGCCAUCUUCCCUCCUAAUUCCUCACGAGGAGAUGUGCUAUGACUCUGUACAGCCAAAGCUAACUCAAUCGAUGGAUUCUUGGCCGUAGCGAGAAUCACCGGAGAACCUUAUCUCUUCGGCCAUUUAACAAUUUGCAUUUUUUUAUUGCCAAAUAAGGACAUCAGCUUUAGUACUACUUGCAUAGAAGCCCUCAGGCUAAUUGUGAUCGUAUCACUCAGACUCUCUGGUCUUCAUAUUGUGCAUCAUAUUUUAAAAAAUGAAUUCUACAUGUAUUAUGAGCAUAGUAGUAUUGUUCAAGUGUUCAUACCUUGAAUUUCCAAGACGACAUUGUGCCAUAUUAUACAUGUUUGCCUCAGCAUUCAUUGUAAAUAUUAGUUUUAGAACAACAUUUUUCUGUCUUUUGCAAUUGGAAUUAAUUUUUCUUGCAAAUCUUGACGAAAUCCAAAAUAAGGAUUUUGAAGUGUCAUACUUAAGAUGACCACAUCAUAUUUUAUUUGUGAAUCACAAGGUAUUGAUGGCAUCUACUGCAGAAUUUGCAGAUUAUCUAUCACUACUGUGAGGUCUACAUCUUGUUAUUUUGAUAAGAUGACUACCUUCAAGUGCUCUUCCAAAUAUUAAUGUGACUAUUCCAAAUUUAAUUUGUGAAUCACAAGGUAUUGGUGGUAUCUACUGCACUAUUUGCAGAUUAUCAACCACUACUGUGAGGUCUACAUCUUGUCAUUUUAACAAGAUUAUUACCUUCAAAGUGCUCUUCCAAAUAUUAAUAUUAUAUGUGACUACCUCAAGAUAUCAUAAGGUAAUACUGGCAUCUACUGCAAAUUUUGCAGACUAUCCAUUAUUACUGCAAGGUCUACAUCAUGUCACUUUGACAGAUGACUACCUUCAAAGUGAUUUCACACAUUUUACAUAACAUAAGGUAAUAGAAUUAUGAACAUCUACUGACAAAAGUCAGACUAUGUUUCCUAUUACUGCGAGAUCUACACCGCAUCCGGUGACUAUCUUCAAAGUGUUAUUCUAUAUAAAUGGAGGUCUACACAUAUGAGUGUAUAGCAUCAGCUAUCAUAAAAAAAAAAUUUGCUCCUCUGAAGCAAUUGUUGUUGUUCACUAAAAAAAAGAUAUUUACUCUCAUAAUAAAAGGUAUUCAUGCAUGAACACUACAUUCUGAAACGGCAAAUAUUUUCCACAAAUAUCAUUUAUUCAAGCCUCAUUUUGCUUUAAUAUGUCAUAGACAACUAUGCAAAUAUUUGCACAUACCAGUAAUUACCUUCUAUUACAUUGGUAAAAUACAUGGCAGUGGAGCCUAUGUCACUAUUUUAAUUAUAGUGUCGUCCAUUCAUUAAAAUGGAUACCACAAUUUAUAGAAAUUGUUGAGUGUCUCAAACACUAUUGAUAGGUCCACAUCAAAUUGUGGUUAUACUUUUAUAGUGACUAACCAAUGAUAAACAUGAAAAGUCUAUGUGUUUUGGCAGUGACUCUGAAGUCACAUAUUUUCUCAAGAAUGAAGUCCAAAACAUUAGCAAUGAUUUCAUCACAUCUGUUGUAUUGAAGGAUACACCCAGGUUCACCAUGGAUCAUCUUGGCCAUGAGUAUUUUCAUGUAACACAUGCCUGACAUUUCCAAAUGCACUAAAUUCAAGAUUAGGUGGGAGUAUUUAUUUUAAGAUGAUUCAUGACAUCAGUCAUUGUGUCCACCCGUGGCCUAUUGCCACUACAACUCCACCUUCUGCAAUGGCUAUUCUCUUGAUAGCUAAGUAUAUACAUGUUGCAUUUUAUAUGUCAUCAACUUCACUUAGUUCUCAAACUAAGUAAUUAUGGAUGAAUAUUUAUUCACUACAAUUUUUCCCUUGAGAGAAACAUGCUGCCAUGAGCACAACACGAUUGAUCACCCAUUUGAUUUCAAAACAUCAAGUCUAUUGCAUCUCACAAUUCUGUCACUUUAAUCAACUUUAAGUUGAGAUCUCGUGAUCAAAUAUUUUCCUAUAUACAGAUCCAGUUGAAAAGCCCUUAAUGCACUUUACACCCUCUUAAGAUGGUACUACCUUUUUUUUAUGAUCAAGAAACAUGGAAUUUCUUAAAAUCAUCAGAUUCACCCAAUGGGUGUUAUACCAUAAUUUAAAAUUCAUGCUAGUAUCGAGAAUAGUAUGCAAGUUAGUUGUCACAAAAUAGAACUAUGAGGAAUUCGAAGUAAAGUGGAGGCUAAUAGACAACCAAAGACGGAAUUAUCUCUUAAUAAGAAUCGGUCAUUUUCAAGUGAUCAAAAGACAACUCUCAAGUUUAUCAGAUGCGUGGUUAUGUAAAUAUUGUACCUAUGAUUACCAAACCCUCAAACAUAUGGUCGAACCACAUCACAAAUUUAUUAAAAGGCAAAUAAGUUCAAUAGGAUAAAUUUGAAAAUUUGCAAAUAAUAACCAGAUUCUGGUAAAGAAUUGUUCUCAGAAUCUUCAUCAGAAGGAGGACCAAAAUCUAGUGCAGAAAAUGGAGGAUGAACUCAUUUGCACUCAAUAAUAUCGGAGACCUUAGGUAAUCUCCUAAUUAUUCCCAAAAAUAGCAUUAACCUGUACUUGUACUACUACAUGUAGUAGGAUAUUCAAUAUCCCAUCACUUGGAUACAAUAUUUAAUAUAUUUGAUAGCAUGGUUAAAGUCAUACUUAGUAUUGUUGCGUACGAAAUAAUUUUCUAAAUAUUAAUAAAUUAAAUGUCUAUUUUGAUAGACUUAUCCAUCCUGGUUUGGGGAUGAUUAGAAAAUUAUUGACAAUUCUGUUGGUCACAACUUAACAAGUUGCAAAAUAUCCCAAAUCAUCAGAUUUUAUGCGCACUACAUGUGCCAUAGGGGAAAUCAGUUUUAAGGCACUCUCACCUUAAAAUUCUAAAUGAGCCACUCAAUCUUCCUUGAAUACAUUAAGAAGACAUAUGUGGAUUAGUUAACCAUUAUGUGGAAUUAUUUAGAUACUUCAUGGUACUCAUAGGAACAUUUAUAAAAUGAUUUCAAGUGUGUCUCUUAUCACACACAAACAUGCAUGAUCUUACUAAAUAAAUUGCUUAACUUAUCAAAGUAGGAGCAAAUUCUCCUGAAAACAGGAUUGAAAAACCCAUUCGAAUGGACAAUGUCAUUGAAAUCAUUUCACAAGCAAUGUCCGAUUAUAUUUUUGUACUCUAUGUACAUACCCAGAAUGGUUUAACUAAAUUUCUUAUCAAAGAUAGUGAAAUGAAUUACAUGACCAAUCUUAAAGAAUUGUAAAUUUACCAGCCUCUUGCUGGACACAUACGGCCUUACACACCGUAAGUAUGAUCUAAAUCAUACCAACUGCAUUUCAUACUACUUUCCCCUUGUAGUAACUACGUGGAAAUCAACAAAGUAUUUCCCAUCUGCGAUAAUUUGGUUACAUACCGAUAUCACCACUCCAGCAUACAUCAAUGGGCACUCACAGAAAAUUGGGGAUCUAUGCGAGGAAUAAUAAUUUAUCCGUCAAUCAAAAUUAUUCAUAGUCCGUACGCUGAUUGCAUCAGCAAUAAGGAUAUUUUCGGCAUUAGGGGGAGAUAAGUACCACAAAGAAUGCCGAAAAAAUAAAUUAGAAAUGUUAUUGACAUUCAAUCCUUAUAUCCACGUCUCAAAGAAUCUGAACUAGAAGUUUAGAGAAUUAUAUAUUUGCAACACAUUGCAAAUCUGCCAAAUACAUUUACUGAUGACAAGGUGUUACUAAAUUAUAUAUUCCUGCAGUAAAGUGUCAGAAGAGUGGAGGUACCUGAUAAACCACUCUUCUCCCCAAAUGAGAGCAAGAGGGGAGAAAAUCUGACAAUACGAGAUAUAACUUCUCAUAUGCUUCCACGGAAACAGAGGAAAUCACAUCCUCAACUAGUAAAUGUAAUUCAACAUCAAGUUGAAAGACACCUCACUGGAUGCUCAUUAUCCAAUGCCCGGCAUAAAGGUGCACAAAUGUUUUGGUGCCGGGACAUCGAAACACCUUGACUCCAUUUGUUGUAGGAAAUCACAAGGAGUUAAAAAGGAGUACAUAUUUUAUCCACAAACUUCAAUGAUUCCAUCAGGAUCAUAUAAACUAAAGACUACAUUUGUCGACAUAUAUUUCUUCUCAAAUUGCUAAAACCUUUUGGGCCCAGAACCAAAAUCCAUGGUAGAGUGCCUCUUGCACUCAUAUUGGUUCACAUAAAAAGGAAGCAAGUAAUGAAGGAUAGCACUCGCUCAACAAAUGAGUGGUAUUUACUGCAGUAAUACCUACUCCUCAUAAGUAUCUUCCAUAUGGAAUACUAAAAACUUCUCAUUCAUAGACAAAGUCAAUGAGGUGGUGAGAAAGCGAGGCUUGUAGCAAAAGGGUUCACGCAUAGAUCCGACAUCGAUCACGAUGUGACAUACCCUUCUGGUAUUAGUGGAAUUAUGUUUCGAUACUAAAUAUCAUAGGCAGUACAAAUAAUACCAUGCAGUUAAUGGAUGCAGUGACUACAUACUCAUAUGGAUCACUCAUUUCGGAUAUCUAUUUUAAAGUUCCUGAAGGGCUUAAAAUUCCGAAUCCAAAGAUAAAUCGUAGCAUGUUUUGUGUAAAACUUCAAAGUCACUCUAUGACUUGAAAUAGUCGGAAAUCAUAUGGUACUACCGACUAAAUGAGUUCCUUCUUCAAAGGGAUUACUCAAAGAAUGAUGAUUACUUCUGUGUUAAUAAGGAAAUCCAAAAUUUGUUUUCCUUAUAUCACUUAGUGUAUAUCGAUGACUUCAUCAUCAAUGCCUAUACAAGACCUAAACAUAUACAAAAUCAUCUCAAGGCGGAAAAUUUGGAUUAAACCAAAUUUAGCUUAAGUUUACAACUUGAGCAUUCUCUCAAGAAUACAUAUCAGUCUACAUAUAUCCAAAACAUAUUUGAGAAGUUCAAUGUGGAUAUAUCACACCAACAAAACGUAUAUGGUCGAUAUGAGGAAUAUUAACUUAUAUCUCAAGUUCAUAAUAAAUCUUGAACAAUUCCAUCAGGAAAAUCAAGAUUUGACCAUGAUAUUGGCUCUUUACUUGAUCCCAACAAAGCCAUAUCAAUGACUGAAUUUGAUGGAAUAGCCUUCUUAUGGAAUUUAAUGGCUACUUCCCCUUAUCAUUCUGACAUAAUUACUUUAUCUAAAGGCAUUGAAAAUAUGGUUGGCUUAGCAGAAUGAUUAACCACACUCAAAACCAUGUGGUUGAGAUUCAUCAGAGUAACAUAACUUGAUUUAUCAAGAUGCUACCACUUGUAUUACUCAAUACAUACAGGUUAUAUGAAGAGCAAUAUCACAAAGCACAUUGCUCGAGAUCACUUAUCCUCAUGAAUUAUAGAAAAGUGAUGAAAUAGUUUGCAAACAAAAUAUUGGAAAAACCGACAUAUUAUUCAUAAUGUCACGAUCAUGUCAAUGUAAUUGAUAUGAGACAUCCUCCAGAUUUGCAAAGUUCAGGGGGAGUAAUCUCCCAAAGUAUAACCUGUUAACAAACAUCAGAUUACAUAUAUUGUACUCUUUUUCCCUUCACGAGUUUUUCCCUAAUGGUUUCUCAUAAAAGGUUUUUAAUGAGACAAUAUAGAUACAAGUGUUCAUAUAUGUCAUAUCAUUUUCUCCUUAUAUUUUUCCCAUUGGGUUUUAAAGGAGUUUUCGAUGGCAUAUAUAAUCGCACUCUUUUCCUUUAUGAGUUUUCUCUUAAAGUUUCUCAUAACGGUUUUUAACAAGGCAUGUCAUACUUUGUUUUUUCCCUAUCGGGGUUUUUAAAGAAAGUACUCAAGACAUAUUAAUUGUUCUCUAAACUCAUCGAUGAUUUUUCUCCUUCUUCAAAGGUUUUUAUCAUAUGAGUUAUCAAGAGACAAUAAUCAUUAUAUGUUGCAUCAUUUUCUCCUUAUUAUUUUUCCCACUGGGUUUAAAGGAGUUUUAGCAACAUAUCUGCACUAUUCUCCUCAUAUUUUUCCCACGGGGUUUUUGGAGGAGACUUUCAAAAUGAAGAUGAUGAACGUUCAAGGCAAAUACAUACUAGGAGGAGUCUAUCAAGAUGAUGUAUAUUCACAAAGACAAGCAUUGAUUAGGGGGAGUGUUAGGAAUUAAUUAAUUAGGUUAAUUAACUAUUAAUCACUGCUAUGUCGGUGCCACUUUUGGCAACUGCCUCCUUUUGUAACCGCCUUGUAAACUGGGUAUAAAUACCCCAAUCUUCAAUCAAUAGAAUAACGGUUCAUUCAUAUAUCUGUUUUCCAUUCGCUCCUCUCUCUCGAUUCUCUCCAACACGAGGAAGGGGAAAGGGGAUUGCG
This 8100-nucleotide long non-coding RNA is filed under the name Triticum aestivum (bread wheat). Its description in RNAcentral is "long non-coding RNA (TAES_LNC024751)". Lineage: Eukaryota; Viridiplantae; Streptophyta; Magnoliopsida; Poales; Poaceae. The record is from RNAcentral.